UAGAGGGACUCGUACCCUAGACGGGGUGAGCGGACUUGCGGCCUGCCCGAAUCGAAUCCAGAUUUAGAAAAGGAGAGACUAUUCAAGAAGACGAUUGCCAGUAGAGACGAUGCUCCAGUCUCAGAAACCUGCAAACCCCAAAUACAACAGAAAAACGUUUUCCUUUUAUCCAUGAGGAGAGGCAAACAGGAACUGUGAGGGGGAGCAGAGCGAGCACGGGGAGGUCGGCUGCAUCAGGUGACAGGGGGCAGGUCACAGUUUUGCACUUGCUCAGACUUGGGCACCACCCCGUGUUCCCUGAGUAAUGAUUUGGUGAGAAACAGGGAAAUGGAACACUGUUUGAAGCCCGUGUGAAAUAAAGAAUCCAAACUUCGUACAGACUUGGGUUGGAAAGAUUAUCAGGGGACUGAGUGUAGGGGACAAGGGAAUGUGGCCACGUGGGGAUGGGUCUCCUGCGAGACGGCAGAGGGAGCGCUGGAAUGGGAGCUGGCCGCUUGCGAGGGCCAUGCAUCUGAAGACCUGGGUCACAAGUUUUCCUCCGCGGAAGCCUAAACAAGGCUAGAAGAGCCGUAGUGGGAAGAUGAUGAAAGUCAGGGGUCAUGGGAGCACAGGUCCACCCCGCCCCAUGCCAGCUGCUUCUCAGGAGGGGCUGUCUGCAGACUCAGCUCCCCUCAUGCAGCCCCUGGAAGAAGACCAAGCGGAACCCAGGCACGACUAUCAGACGCUUUUGUUCCAGUUGAUGAGCGUGCAUCCAGGGGAUGAGUGUGCAGCUGUUCAGUGACUCGGUGACCUUGGAGGACGUGGCUGUGGACUUCACCCCACAGGAGUGGGCGCUGCUGAGUCAUGCUCAGAGGGAGCUUUACAGAGAUGUGAUGCUGGAGACCUGCAGGAACCUGGCCUCUAUAGAUGGUCACAUCCAUAUUAAAACUAGGGGGUCAAGUUUUCAGCGGUGUCUUUUGAGAAAUGGAAUAUCCAGCAAUGAUCCAGGCAUAAAAUUCACAAGAAGUGAUUUCUGGUCUGUUUUUGGAGAAAACUGGAGACUUGAUAACCCUGGCGAUGACCAAAUCCAGGACAGGCAUUCGAGCGCUGAUGUGAGCAGCCUCUCCGACAGCAGGGAAGGUCCGCGUGGAGACACCGUGAGCCACCCCGGGAGUCCGCCCGUGUGUGCACGCGAGCCCGGUGAUCGCAACGCGAGCCAGCAGGGGCCUCGCCCUGGCCGCAGGCCGCAGCCGGGUGAGGACGGGGAGCAAGCCUGCGGCCGCCUGUGUCCUCCUGCGACAGCUGGCUCCCCGGAGAAGCCCGGGGAAGGUGCGGAGGCAGGGACCGCCUCGCGCAAAGGCGCGGGAAGUGCCCGGGGCCGAAGGUCCCUGAAAGGCGGGAAGGGCGGGACCCUGUCCGGCCGCCCACCCCGCGGGGGAGGCGCGGCGGGGCAGAAGGCCCACGCCUGCGGCGUGUGCGGGAAGGCUUUUCAGUACCGCUCCUACCUGGCCCGGCACGCGCGGACGCACACCGGAGAGAAGCCCUACCGCUGCGAGGCGUGCGGGAAGGCCUUCAGCUGCCCCUCGUACUUCCGCGACCACGUGAGGACGCACAGUGGCCAGCAGCCCUACCCCUGCGCGCGCUGCGGCCGGGCCUUCGGCUGCCACUCGUCCUUCCGCGAUCACGCCAGGACGCACACCGGGGAGAAGCCCUACCGGUGCGCGCGCUGCGGCCGGGCCUUCACCUGCUACUCGUCCCUGCGGGAGCACGGGCGGUCCCACAGCGGCGCGAAGCCCUACGCGUGCGCCGAGUGCGGGAGGGCCUUCCGCUACCCCGCGUCCCUGCGCGCGCACCGGAGCACGCACGCGGCGGGGAGCGCCCGGGCCUGCGGGCAGUGCGGGAAGACCUUCAGCUGCCCCGCCUACCUGCGAAGGCACCUGCGAACCCACGGCGCCGCCAGGCCGCACCGGUGCGCACAGUGCGGGCGGGCCUACGGCUUCGCCGCCUCGCUGCGCGCGCAUGCGCGCACGCACACCGGGGAGAGGCCCUUCCAGUGCCCGCAGUGCGGCAAGGCCUUCGGCUGCCGCGCCUCCCUUCGCGAGCACGCGCGCACGCACAGCGGGGAGAAGCCGUUCCGCUGCCCGCAGUGCGGGAAGGCCUUCAGUCGUCCCCAGUAUAUCCGGAAGCACGCGCGGACACACAGUGCGGGCAGGCCCUACGAGUGCGCCCGGUGCGGGAAGGCCUACCGCGGCUCCUCGUCCCUGCGGGUGCACAUGCGCUCACACACCGGGGAGCGGCCCUACGCGUGCCCGCAGUGCGGGAAGGCCUUCCGGUAUCUGGCGUCCCUGCAGGCACACUCGAGAUCCCACGCGGAGAGACCCUGAGGGCACGGCCUGCGGGGAAUGUCCCCUUGCCCUAAGGACCUUGUGGCGGGAAGGCCCCUGUGCUCGGGCUGUGGGAACCUGUGUCCCCGCUUUUGUACGAAGCCUUGGAGUAGGAGGGGAGCCUCUCCGUUGUUACUAACGUUUCGCCUUCUGAGUGCCUCGCCCUUAGUGGGGUCCCUCGUGUUUCAAAUCCCGGUUUAUGUUGCUGAUGUGAACAAUAAAUGCCCUGUUUGGAACCGUCGGUUGCACCAUGUACAUUUCGUUCUGUAAGACUUUGAUCGCACGUUCCCGUGAAACCUGUCUGGUCUCCGUGACGGUGGUUUCUGGACCUGCGGGUGCUCGAGCGACUUCCGUGCAGUGUGAUGUGAUUUACAUGAGCAGCUUUUGGUCCUAUUGUCGUUGCUUCCAGCCGUGAUCAUAAUAUGACUGCUGCCGGUCCCCAGCUGCAGGUACUGGACUCCGUCCACCCUUCCCUCCGUUCUUCAUCACGAAAGGGGCAUCUCCCUCGUUGAUGGCUACGUGCGACUCACAGGAAUCGGUCAUUGUGGCAGGUUCUUGGGAGGGGCUUCCCAGCGGAUCGGAGAUCCUAUUUUGAACUCGCUCGUUGCCGUUGCUCUUGGUUGCUCUCGGACCCACUGCACUGAGGUGACCCUGUGGCACGUGAGCCUGGGGUUCUACCUGGCCGCGCGAUGGCUGGGGCUGGGCAUCCUACUGGUGGCUCCAUUCAGUUUAGGAGAAGACGACGGCAUGCAAGUUUCAGAAUGCAGACGUGAGUACCCCGUGCUCCCAGUGGUUUUAUCAGGGCACAGAGCCAUGGUGACAGCGCAUUUUCUGAUUAUUGGCUCUGCUGGACACUGCCUCGUGUCCCCUCAGCACAUCCUGCGUCUUUGCACGGGCUGCCAAUCUGGACCCUUGCGGGUUGCUCCCAGCACCGACUGCCCUGCUCCCCGGCUCUGGUUUGCAGCACGGGCUACGCUAGGGGUCUUCGCUCCCGGAGCGAGCACCUCCGCCUCUUCUCACCUCCAAUGGUCUCUCAGUGAGCAUCUGUGUCUUAACUGCCCUGGUGACUGACCCCAUCCUGAGCUAUUUGGUGUUGGAGCUGGGUAGCUUGUGACCCUGGUGGCACUGUGAGAGGCAGCACUAGCCAGCCUGCCUGUCACCUUGUUGCCAGCAGCUAGUGAUUGCCACUGUUGUCUGUGGCUUCAGAGCUCAUUGUGCAUCCAGUCACCUGAGUGUCCCUGUGACCUGGAAAGCCAGCUGAGGUGAUGGAGAUGACGUUCUUUCUCUGGUGUCACAGUGGCAUCCACACUGGUUUCCUUGUACAAGGCUCCCUGGGACUUGGGGCACCUCAGCUUCGUUCUGAGUGUGCAGACGUUUCACCCCAGCGAAGGCGGGCAGUUGAACAGACUGCGGUGCCGGCCAUCCGGCUGUCCCGCCGUCACCGCCCACGGCCAGACGCUUUCCAGCGUCACUUCUCAGGUCCCAUCCGUGAUGUCUUUAAGUGACGCAUGAAGAACCUGGUUGAAGUCCUCUGUGCAAACUGUCACCUGUGGACAUCCAUGAUCCCCUCCAUCAUCUGCCACCUUGGGCAACAGGGGGCAGCAGGUGGCACACUGACUGGGGAGCUGACGCUGGUGGGGAGCUGGCCGGUCAUCGCAGACACCAUUCACAUGCCAGUCUGGUUUCCUCCCAGAAUGUUUUCGGCAGUGCAGGGAUUGAAUCCAGAGCCUCACCGAGUGCGGUGAGUGCCCUUUGGUGGCACUGCCUCCUUGGCUGUCUCACCUGCGCUGAGACGCAGGCUCUUCCUGCUGCAGCGUCCCGGUGCCCAUAGCUGGGACCGCGGGCAUGUGCCAGUGCACCAGCUUUCCCCUUGAUUGACAUGGUGUAUUUCAGAUGAUGACAGAAAUGACAACAUCAGCCACCACUGAAAAUGCAGCGAGGAAUGUCACUGAGACGGAGUUGGACAAGAAGCCCCACGAGAUUCCCGGAAGGCGCAACUUCCUGACGAGGCUCUGGAAGCCGCCCGGAUGGGCGGGUCACGACCCCGGCCGCUGGAGAGGACAGCACUGGCGGGUCGCUACACUGGCACUGUCCUAAGCGUCACAUCGCUGAUAGAGAGGCCAGAGGAAAGAGGAGGAGCCAGGUGCUCACCUGUGCCUUGUCUGCAGGUGGCGACUAAACCACUCGCCUUGGAGAUGGGCUCAUGGCCUGGCCGCCGGUCCUGGGACAGCUCGGCAGGAAAGCUUGGGAUGCCUCACAUUCCGCUCAGGGCCAGCACUGGAAGAGCUGGGACAGGCAGAGCCGUCACACCGUCACACCUGCGGGGUGCAGCUCCCAGGACGGGCUGAACGAAGGCAGGGCAGGGACGCGGUGCGCGGGGCGGCCCCGAGGUGCAGGCGGCGCACACUAGGGCCACAGCUCCUGCAGCGGCGUGGGACGCCUGAGCCCAGGAUGUCCUGGGGACCCGCGCGCAGGCGGCUGGUCCGCUCCGUCUGCCCUGGGCGCCUGUUCUCCCCGCAGCACCCCGAGGUGCAGCUGCGGACCUGCAGCAGCCGCCACAGGCGCUGUCCGCCCUGCGUGACCCCUUUCUGCGGCACAGGCCUGGCGCGGGCCCUCCGAGAGCCCCGUCCCCAGCCUUGCGCUCCUAGGUCUCCCCUGCUCUUCGUAUUUUCCUUUCCCGCAAACCCUUAUUUCCUUAGAAACCAAGCCUCUGCUAUUUGCUUACUAUCUUUGUACACAGACAUUUAAAAAAAUUUCUUUUGGUUGUUGAUGAACCUUUACUUUUUUAAAAAAUUUAUACGUGGUGCUGAGAUUCGAACCCAGUGCCUUUCAAAUGCUAGGUGAGUGCGUUACCACUGAGCCACAACACAGCCCCUACAGACGUUUAAUAACAAAGACUAUAAGAAAUCAUUUCAUGGACUGGGGAGAUGACUCAGUCGGUAGA
Sciurus carolinensis (gray squirrel) is the source of this 5307-nucleotide RNA transcript. It is a transcript of the gene named zinc finger protein 77, with no coding region annotated. The record is from RefSeq and is a predicted model, not a curated record. NCBI's taxonomy places the organism in Eukaryota, Metazoa, Chordata, Mammalia, Rodentia, Sciuridae. The transcript is spliced from 5 exons.